Molecule: ribosomal RNA, 453 nt
Filed under: uncultured bacterium
Lineage: Bacteria
Description: SSU rRNA
Rfam family: Bacterial small subunit ribosomal RNA
Source: RNAcentral
AGGAUGAACGCUGGCGGUAUGCUUUACACAUGCAAGUCGAACGCAAGUUUUUAACUUGAGUGGCUGACGGGUGAGUAACACGUGAGAAUUCGCCUUUAGGCGGGGAAUAACCAUCGGAAACAAUGGCUAAUGCCCCAUAUGCUCGUAAGAGUGAAAGGAGUAAUCCACCCAGAGAGAAGCUCGCGGCUGAUUAGCUAGUUGGUAAGGUAAUGGCUUACCAAGGCGACGAUCAGUAGCUGGUUUGAGAGAACGAUCAGCCACACUGGAACUGAGACACGGUCCAGACUCCUACGGGAGGCAGCAGUGGGGAAUUUUCCGCAAUGGGCGAAAGCCUGACGGAGCAAUACCGCGUGAGGGAUGAAGGCCUUUGGGUUGUAAACCUCUUUUAUCAAGGAGGAAGUUCUGACGUGUACUUGAUGAAUAAGCAUCGGCUAACUCCGCGCCAGCAGCCGC